This 490-nucleotide ribosomal RNA is filed under the name uncultured bacterium. RNAcentral describes it as "partial 16S ribosomal RNA". It matches the Rfam family "Bacterial small subunit ribosomal RNA", at positions 28 to 507 of the family's 1533-position model. The record is from RNAcentral.
GAUGAACGCUAGCGAUAGGCUUAACACAUGCAAGUCGAGGGGCAGCAUGGUCUUAGCUUGCUAAGACUGAUGGCGACCGGCGCACGGGUGCGUAACGCGUAUGCAACUUGCCUCACAGAGGGGGAUAACCCGUCGAAAGACGGACUAAUACCGCGUACACUUGGGAUAGGGCAUCCUGACCCAAGGAAAUGAAAUUCGCUGUGAGAUAGGCAUGCGUCCCAUUAGCUAGUUGGUGAGGUAACGGCUCACCAAGGCGACGAUGGGUAGGGGAACUGAGAGGUUGAACCCCCACACUGGUACUGAGACACGGACCAGACUCCUACGGGAGGCAGCAGUGAGGAAUAUCGGUCAAUGGGCGAGAGCCUGAACCAGCCAAGUCGCGUGAAGGAUGACUGUCUUAUGGAUUGUAAACCUCUUUUAUACGGGAAUAACAAGAGCCACGUGUGGCUCCCUGCAUGUACCGUAUGAAUAAGCAUCGGCUAACUCCGUG